Gossypium hirsutum (cotton) is the source of this 107-nucleotide non-coding RNA. NCBI's taxonomy places the organism in Eukaryota, Viridiplantae, Streptophyta, Magnoliopsida, Malvales, Malvaceae. The record is from Rfam.
AUUCCGUGAUGAGGGUACUUCAGUAAUAAUUCUUUGUACCUUUCCCAUGCCUCAUAUAAGGACUCAUCAUCCAUUUCUUGGAAAGCAGUGAUCUCGUUCCUCAACUU